Zobellia galactanivorans is the source of this 87-nucleotide regulatory RNA element. The record is from Rfam. Lineage: Bacteria; Pseudomonadati; Bacteroidota; Flavobacteriia; Flavobacteriales; Flavobacteriaceae.
AUUAAAGAGGAGGGAUUUGACUGAUUGCAACCUCUGUUUUAAACCUGAGUAGGGUGAUAAAAACAAAAAAAUGCUAAAGCAGUUGAU